UACAGAGGUCUCAAGCGUUGUUCGGAUUCAUUGGGCGUAAAGGGUGCGUAGGCGGCGCGGUAAGUCGGGUGUGAAAUCUUGGAGCUUAACUCCGAAACUGCAUUCGAUACUGCCGUGCUUGAGGACUGGAGAGGAGACUGGAAUUUACGGUGUAGCGGUGAAAUGCGUAGAUAUCGUAAGGAAGACCAGUGGCGAAGGCGGGUCUCUGGACAGUUCCUGACGCUGAGGCAGGAAGGCCAGGGGAGCAAACGGG
RNAcentral lists this ribosomal RNA (253 nucleotides) under uncultured bacterium. RNAcentral describes it as "partial 16S ribosomal RNA". It matches the Rfam family "Bacterial small subunit ribosomal RNA", at positions 524 to 776 of the family's 1533-position model. The record is from RNAcentral.